AGCAGGUCCCACUGUCAAAAGUCGAUAUAUGAGAUUGUGUGAAAUUUACUAUCAAUUCCAAUUAAAAAAAAUCAUCAAAGACUAAAUCACCAUGGGAGGUGUAUGUUCAUCAUAAUGAGAAAUCAACCAAAAAUAAAAUAAAAUAACUGAUAGAGUUUUAGUUUUCCAAAGGUGCCUAGCCAUUCCACUUUUUUAACAGUCAAUUAAUUUGUGCCAAUUAAUUUGUGUUCUCUCCGUAGCUGUGAGGUCUCAAGGAAGUAAGCCUAUAUUCAGAUUUUAUAAGAAUGGUGGACAAGCUUAAUAACUUUGCUUUCAAGGAAUGAUUGUCCAUCAUACACAUCAACCUUUUGUAUACUAGGAGCCCUCUGAAUAACUAAUGCUUUGUAAUUAAUAGAACCUUUUAGGAC
RNAcentral lists this unclassified non-coding RNA (407 nucleotides) under Hevea brasiliensis (rubber tree). Lineage: Eukaryota; Viridiplantae; Streptophyta; Magnoliopsida; Malpighiales; Euphorbiaceae. The record is from RNAcentral.